UACGGAGGAUCCAAGCGUUAUCCGGAAUCAUUGGGUUUAAAGGGUCCGCAGGCUGUUUUGUAAGUCAGAUGUGAAAUCCCCGGGCUUAACCUGGGAACUGCGUUUGAAACUACAAGGCUAGAGUGUAGCAGAGGGGGGUGGAAUUCCACGUGUAGCAGUGAAAUGCGUAGAGAUGUGGAGGAACACCGAUGGCGAAGGCAGCCCCCUGGGUUAACACUGACGCUCAGGCACGAAAGCGUGGGGAGCAAACAGG
This 253-nucleotide ribosomal RNA is filed under the name uncultured bacterium. RNAcentral's name for it is "partial 16S ribosomal RNA". It matches the Rfam family "Bacterial small subunit ribosomal RNA", at positions 524 to 776 of the family's 1533-position model. The record is from RNAcentral.